ACGGCUCAGUAACACGUGGCUAACCUGCCCUUUGGACCGGAAUACCCCCGGGAAACUGGGGCUAAUUCUCGAUAGGUGAAGAACUCUGGAAUGAGUCUUCGCCAAAUAGACCCUGCGUUACGCUCGUAGGCGUCGCCAAAGGAUGGGGCCGCGACCGAUCAGGUUGUUGGUGAGGUAAUGGCUCACCAAGCCUUUUACCGGUGCGGGCCGUGGGAGCGGGAGCCCGGAGAUGGGCACUGAGACAAGGGCCCAGGCCCUACGGGGCGCAGCAGUCGCGAAAACUUUGCAAUAAGCGAAAGCUUGACAGGGCUAUCCCGAGUGCCAUCCGCUGAGGAAGGCUUUUACCCAGUCUAGAACGCUGGGGGAAUAAGGAGAGGGCAAGUCUGGUGUCAGCCGCCGCGGUAAUACCAGCUCUCCGAGUGGUGUGGAUGUUUAUUGGGCCUAAAGCAUCCGUAGCUGGCUAGGUUAGUCCCCUGUUAAAUCCACCGAAUUAAUCGUUGGAUUGCGGGGGAUACUGCUUGGCUAGGGGACGAGAGAGGCAGACGGUAUUUCCGGGGUAGGGGUGAAAUCCUAUAAUCCCGGGAAGACCACCAGUGGCGAAGGCUGUCUGCUAGAACGCGCCCGACGGUGAGGGAUGAAAGCUGGGGGAGCGAACCGGAUUAGAUACCCGGGUAGUCCCAGCUGUAAACGAUGCAGACUAGGUGUUUGGACGGCCACGUGCCGUUCUAGUGCCGCAGGGAAGCUGUUAAGUCUGCCGCCUGGGGAGUACGAUCGCAAGAUUGAAACUUAAAGGAAUUGGCGGGGGAGCAC
RNAcentral lists this ribosomal RNA (810 nucleotides) under uncultured archaeon. Its description in RNAcentral is "bacterial SSU rRNA". It matches the Rfam family "Archaeal small subunit ribosomal RNA", at positions 85 to 879 of the family's 1478-position model. The record is from RNAcentral.